This 428-nucleotide ribosomal RNA is filed under the name uncultured Synechococcus sp. RNAcentral's name for it is "bacterial SSU rRNA". It matches the Rfam family "Bacterial small subunit ribosomal RNA", at positions 30 to 505 of the family's 1533-position model. The record is from RNAcentral. Lineage: Bacteria; Bacillati; Cyanobacteriota; Cyanophyceae; Synechococcales; Synechococcaceae.
UGAACGCUGGCGGCGUGCUUAACACAUGCAAGUCGAACGAACCUUCGGGUUAGUGGCGGACGGGUGAGUAACGCGUGGGAAUCUGCCCUCAGGAGGGGGAUAACGGCCGGAAACGGCCGCUAAUACCCCAUAUGCCGAGAGGUGAAAUGAAUUUCGCCUGAGGAUGAGCCCGCGUCUGAUUAGCUAGUUGGUGAGGUAAGAGCUCACCAAGGCAUCGAUCAGUAGCUGGUCUGAGAGGAUGAUCAGCCACACUGGGACUGAGACACGGCCCAGACUCCUACGGGAGGCAGCAGUGGGGAAUUUUCCGCAAUGGGCGAAAGCCUGACGGAGCAACGCCGCGUGAGGGAUGAAGGCCUCUGGGCUGUAAACCUCUUUUAUCAAGGAAGAAGAUCUGACGGUACUUGAUGAAUAAGCCACGGCUAAUUCCG